UACGUAGGGUGCAAGCGUUAAUCGGAAUUACUGGGCGUAAAGGGUGCGUAGGCGGUCGGGUAAGUCUGAUGUGAAAUCUCCAAGCUCAACUUGGAAAUGGCAUCGGAUACUAUUCGGCUCGAGGAAUGGAGGGGAGACUGGAAUACUUGGUGUAGCAGUGAAAUGCGUAGAUAUCAAGUGGAACACCAGUGGCGAAGGCGAGUCUCUGGACAUUUCCUGACGCUGAGGCACGAAAGCCAGGGGAGCAAACGGG
RNAcentral lists this ribosomal RNA (253 nucleotides) under uncultured bacterium. RNAcentral describes it as "partial 16S ribosomal RNA". It matches the Rfam family "Bacterial small subunit ribosomal RNA", at positions 524 to 776 of the family's 1533-position model. The record is from RNAcentral.